Molecule: ribosomal RNA, 1519 nt
Filed under: uncultured bacterium
Lineage: Bacteria
Description: bacterial SSU rRNA
Rfam family: Bacterial small subunit ribosomal RNA
Source: RNAcentral
AGAGUUUGAUCCUGGCUCAGAACGAACGCUGGCGGCGUGCUUAAACCAUGCAAGUCGAACGAGAACCCCCGCUUCGGCGGGGGAGUACAGUGGCGAACGGGUGAGUAACGCGUGGGUAACCUGCCUUCGAGAGCGGGAUAACCCCUCCAACGAGGGGGUAAUACCGCAUAUUGUAGUCGGAUCGCAUGAUUUGGCUAUGAAAAGGGGCCUCUGCUUGCAAGCCCCUGCUCGAAGAUGGACCCGCGUUCUAUUAGCUUGUUGGUGAGGUAACGGCUCACCAAGGCUAUGAUGGAUAGCCGACCUGAGAGGGUGAUCGGCCACACUGGGAUUGAGAUACGGCCCAGACUCCUACGGGGGGCAGCAGGUGGGAAUAUUGCGCAAUGGGGGAAACCCUGACGCAGCAACGCCGCGUGGGGGAUGAAGCUCUUUGGAGCGUAAACCCCUGUAAGAAGGGACGAAAUGCGCAGGUGUGAAUAUCAUCUGCGCUUGACGGUACCUCUAGAGGAAGCUCCGGCUAACUCCGUGCCAGCAGCCGCGGUAACACGGGGGGAGCAAGCGUUGUUCGGAUUUACUGGGCGUAAAGCGCGCCUAGGCGGGCCAACAAGUCAAAUGUGAAAUUUCCCGGCUCAACCGGGAACCUGCAUUUGAUACUGUUGGCCUUGAGUAUAGGAGAGGAAAGCGGAACUGAGCGUGUAGCGGUGAAAUGCGUAGAUAUGCUCAGGAACACCGGUGGCGAANGCGGCUUUCUGGCCUGAUACUGACGCUGAAGCGCGAAAGCGUGGGGAGCAAACAGGAUUAGAUACCCUGGUAGUCCACGCUGUAAACGAUGGGCACUAGGUGUUGGAGGUAUUGACCCCUUCAGCGCCGCAGCUAACGCAUUAAGUGCCCCGCCUGGGGAGUACGAUCGCAAGGUUGAAACUCAAAGGAAUUGACGGGGGCCCGCACAAGCGGUGGAGCAUGUGGUUCAAUUCGAGGCAACGCGAAGAACCUUACCUGGGCUUGACAUGUAGGUGGUAGUCCAGCGAAAGCUGGACGACCCUUCGGGGCACCUACACAGGUGCUGCAUGGCUGUCGUCAGCUCGUGCCGUGAGGUGUUGGGUUAAGUCCCGUAACGAGCGCAACCCUUACCCUUAGUUGCCAGCGAUAUCGGGCACUCUAAGGGGACUGCCCGGGACAACCGGGAGGAAGGUGGGGAUGACGUCAAGUCAGCAUGGCCUUUAUGUCCAGGGCUACACACAUGCUACAAUGGCCGGUACAAUGGGUUGCGACGCCGUGAGGCGUAGCAAAUCCUCUAAAGCCGGCCCAAGUUCGGAUUGCAGGCUGCAACUCGCCUGCAUGAAGCUGGAAUUGCUAGUAACCGCGCGUCAGCAAUAGCGCGGUGAAUACGUUCCCGGGCCUUGUACACACCGCCCGUCACGUCAUGGGAGCUGGCAACACCUGAAGCCGGUGUGCUAACCCUAAGGGAAGCAGCCGUCGAAGGUGUUGCCGGUAACUGGGACGAAGUCGUAACAAGGUAGCC